AAACGAAUCUCUGGAAAGCCGGCGCCCUGCGCCGCACCGACGGCGUAAGGACCGGGUCAACCCCGAUCCGAAUCUCUCAGGUUCCGCGACAGAGGGGGGUCA
Molecule: non-coding RNA, 102 nt
Filed under: Acidiphilium rubrum
Lineage: Bacteria; Pseudomonadati; Pseudomonadota; Alphaproteobacteria; Acetobacterales; Acidocellaceae
Description: Glycine sequence
Rfam family: Glycine riboswitch aptamer
About the family: This family represents the bacterial glycine riboswitch.
Source: Rfam by way of RNAcentral